Molecule: ribosomal RNA, 316 nt
Filed under: Vibrio parahaemolyticus
Lineage: Bacteria; Pseudomonadati; Pseudomonadota; Gammaproteobacteria; Vibrionales; Vibrionaceae
Description: partial 23S ribosomal RNA
Rfam family: Bacterial large subunit ribosomal RNA
Source: RNAcentral
GUUGUAUGGUUAAGUGACUAAGCGUACACGGUGGAUGCCUUGGCAGUCAGAGGCGAUGAAAGACGUAGUAACUUGCGAUAAGCCCAGAUUAGGUAGUAACAACCAUUUGAGUCUGGGAUUUCUGAAUGGGGAAACCCACUUACAUAAGUAAGUAUCCUUACCUGAAUACAUAGGGUAAGGAGGCGAACCGGGGGAACUGAAACAUCUAAGUACCCCGAGGAAAAGAAAUCAACCGAGAUUCCGAAAGUAGCGGCGAGCGAAAUUGGACUAGCCCUUAAGCUUUACACGCGUUAGACGAACGGUCUGGAAAGUCCGA